AUUGAACGCUGGCGGAAUGCUUUACACAUGCAAGUCGAGCGGCAGCGCGGGGGCAACCCUGGCGGCGAGCGGCGAACGGGUGAGUAAUACAUCGGAACGUGUCCUUGAGUGGGGGAUAGCUCGGCGAAAGCCGGAUUAAUACCGCAUAAGCUCUGCGGAGGAAAGCGGGGGACUGGUAACGGCCUCGCGCUGUUGGAGCGGCCGAUGUCGGAUUAGCUAGUUGGUGGGGUAAAGGCCCACCAAGGCGACGAUCCGUAGCUGGUCUGAGAGGAUGAUCAGCCACACUGGAACUGAGACACGGUCCAGACUCCUACGGGAGGCAGCAGUGGGGAAUUUUGGACAAUGGGGGCAACCCUGAUCCAGCCAUUCCGCGUGAGUGAAGAAGGCCUCGGUUGUAAG
Molecule: ribosomal RNA, 399 nt
Filed under: uncultured bacterium
Lineage: Bacteria
Description: bacterial SSU rRNA
Rfam family: Bacterial small subunit ribosomal RNA
Source: RNAcentral